UUUUAUGAGUUUUCAUUGAUCUUACCAUAUAUUCUAAUACUGUAAUCCAUCAUUAGAUUUCAUGGAUGCCCAUUUAUUUGGGGAUUUCUGCCAGCUAUAACUCUUUGCAACUCAAUAUACAUUUAAAAUUUUACUUGAUAAUGAAAUUCAUCACCAAAGAUCAAACUUCUUAUGACACCAAAAUAAUGUGACCUAGAAUAAAGAAGUCAUUGCUUCAGAGCAGGCAAGAAGAUAUAGAAAUCCACACACUUUAGGCCUUGGAUGCCAUGUAGUGCCUAUUCUUUCAUAUCAUGUAGAUAGGACUAGAAAGAGGAUAAUAUGAGAACUUCUUGGUUUACAGAAGGAUGCAAAGAUGGACCAAGACCCCCUUUUUACUAGGACUAGUUUUGGGCAUACGCAGUGCAGGCUAAAUGAAAACUAAAAAUAGAAUGUUAUAAAUACUCAAAAAACAAACAGCAGAACAAAUGCAAGAAUUAAAUGCCCACUUGGGCUACCUGCUCAUUGUUAGGAUGAAUGACACCAUCAUCCAAGUCAUUUCUUUUCUCUCU
Molecule: long non-coding RNA, 548 nt
Filed under: Phoenix dactylifera (date palm)
Lineage: Eukaryota; Viridiplantae; Streptophyta; Magnoliopsida; Arecales; Arecaceae
Description: long non-coding RNA (PDAC_LNC013510)
Source: RNAcentral